Non-coding RNA from Anas platyrhynchos (mallard), 563 nucleotides. The record is from RefSeq and is a predicted model, not a curated record. Lineage: Eukaryota; Metazoa; Chordata; Aves; Anseriformes; Anatidae.
CUCCGCCCCCGACAAGAUGGCGCCCGGCGCUGCUCCGCUUUCCUCCCCUCAGGGCCCGGCUGCCGGGGCGGCCCCCGGGGCGGCGGGGCAGCGGCCGGCACAGGGGAGCCGGGCCGCGCCAUGAGCUUUUACAACAGGAGAAUGAAGAGAAGGCAGCCAAGGGAGUGGAGACCCCCAAAAUAAGAUGCCUCCGCUACACACACACGCAUCUGUCUUUUCAGAAUUUUCAGCCUGGGGAGAGAUGGGACACAUCAGACAUAGAAUCAUAGAAUCAUGGAAACACAAGGUUGGAAAGGACCCACAGGAUCAUUUAGUCCAACCAUCCUUCUAUUACAUGCAGCAGAUUGAACCCCAGUGCAGAGAGCUGGGUGUUUCAGGCCCACGCCAUACACCUGCUGCUUCAGUACCCCGCAUCAGAAGAGAUGGAUGCUUCCUCUCUGAGCCCCUUGGCAAAAAUUGAAAUUCCUAAUUGAUUUUGAUAACGGUAACUUGCUUUAAUGUGGCUUUUGCCCUUUCAAGUACGUGCAGUUCUCAGAUGUGUUGAGAUCAAACUGACUCACCUA